ACAGGCGCAGCCGUUCUCCGAGGCCCUUCGGUGAGACUCCUCGUUCGCUGGAGGAUCUGCCAAGUAAAUUGCUUGGAUGGGAAAUGAGCACCUGGCCUCAUUAUGACUACCCAGGCCAGGAGAUGCAGAGUCCCCCCGUGCAUCUCCGCCGCCGCAGCGGGUGCUCGCGGGAAGCCUGCUCGGUGGCUGCUCGGAGGCUGCGAUGACUGGGCUGAAUUUCCUGACUAACCGCAUCGGAACAGGAGAGCUGGAAGGUCCCCAGCUCCCUCGGGGCAAAGACGCACCAGAAAUACCAGGAGCAUGACGGCUGCAUCUGGGAUUUGCGUGUCUGGAGCGGAGGAGAAGGGGAAAGGCGUUGGGAAAGCCCGUGAGGAGGGACGGGCGCGGAGCAUCCGUAGGGUGGGCGAGGAAGGGGCCGGGUGCCGGCGGGCUCCCCAGGAGGCACACGCGUCUCCCGGGAGCCCCAGACGAGGCCGGCGUGACGAUGCCCUGACAAGACAGCAGCCUGCAGUCAAAUUCCUGCCCCGGCUCUUUGUCUUCUCCUGGGUGCGGACCCGAGUCGGAAACCACGGCACCGGGCGUGUCGGCAUCCUGGUGUCUGCGGAUGCCUUCCCGGCCACCCGCUUUCAUCUCCUCCACCCCCAGCUGCGCUCUCAGGGCCAGUGGCUGGUGGCUUUCUGGGCUUGGUGGCUGCAUGGUGGCCAUCGUCUGAGCCACCCCACUGCUCCGGCUCGCCCCGCUGCCACCUGCUGAUGGGGUCCCCAUGGAGCCCAUCGCAGCCUUGCAUGGCCACAGGAUAUCAUGGGUCCCCCAGCAGCAGGAACCAGCCUGGAGGCUAUGGGGAUUCUCCAGGAUGUUGGGAGCAUGUACGUCUGCCUCCUCACUCAUCACUGCCUGCCAAAAGCCGUCACUGUUGCCCUGUUGCCUUUUGUAGCAGAGAUUUACUCACAGUGCUGGGGCUCACAGGCAGCGAGGGGUUAACGGAAAUGCCACUUGGAAGGUGGUUUCUCUCUUAUAAGAAAAA
Long non-coding RNA from Oxyura jamaicensis (ruddy duck), 1024 nucleotides. RefSeq lists it as uncharacterized. Lineage: Eukaryota; Metazoa; Chordata; Aves; Anseriformes; Anatidae. The record is from RefSeq and is a predicted model, not a curated record. The transcript has 2 exons.